CCUACGGGUGGCAGCAGUGAGGAAUAUUGGUCAAUGGGCGAGAGCCUGCACCAGCCAAGUCGCGUGAGGGAGUACUGCCCUAUGGGUUGUAAACCUCUUUUGUCGGGGAGCAAAAGCCGGACGUGUCCGGCUGUGAGAGUACCCGAAGAAAUAGCAUCCGCUAACUCCGUGCCAGCAGCCGCGGUAAUUCGGAGGAUGCGAGCGUUUUCCGGAUUUAUUGGGUUUAAAGGGGGCGCAGGCGGUGGCACAAGUCAGCGUGAAACUCGCGGGGCUAAAACCCGCUCCGCCGUUGAAACUGUGUCCCGUGAGUGCGCGAAGGGUAGGCGGAAUGCGUGGUGUAGCGGUGAAAUGCAUAGAUAUCACGCAGAACUCCGAUCGCGAAGGCAGCCUACCGGCGCGCAACUGACGCUCAUGCACGAAAGCGUGGGUAUCGAACAGGAUUAGAUACCCUUGUAGUC
This 458-nucleotide ribosomal RNA is filed under the name uncultured bacterium. RNAcentral describes it as "partial 16S ribosomal RNA". It matches the Rfam family "Bacterial small subunit ribosomal RNA", at positions 338 to 795 of the family's 1533-position model. The record is from RNAcentral.